This 279-nucleotide ribosomal RNA is filed under the name uncultured bacterium. RNAcentral describes it as "partial 16S ribosomal RNA". It matches the Rfam family "Bacterial small subunit ribosomal RNA", at positions 506 to 784 of the family's 1533-position model. The record is from RNAcentral.
UGCCAGCCGCCGCGGUAAUACGGAGGGUGCAAGCGUUAAUCGGAAUUACUGGGCGUAAAGCGCGCGUAGGCGGUUUUGUAAGUCGGAUGUGAAAUCCCCGGGCUUAACCUGGGAACUGCACUCGAUACUGCAUAACUAGAGUAUGGUAGAGGGAAGUGGAAUUUCCGGUGUAGCGGUGAAAUGCGUAGAUAUCGGAAGGAACACCAGUGGCGAAGGCGACUUCCUGGACUGAUACUGACACUGAGGUGCGAAAGCGUGGGGAGCGAACAGGAUUAGAUA